Molecule: small RNA, 2322 nt
Filed under: Pan troglodytes (chimpanzee)
Lineage: Eukaryota; Metazoa; Chordata; Mammalia; Primates; Hominidae
Description: processed transcript
Source: RNAcentral
CAGAUCUCGCUGUCAUGGUCUGCGGCAAGUAGGAAUGACUUCACCCUGCAGCUACCCAAACUGCACCUGGAGACCUUUGCAAUGGAGGCGCUCAAGGGCAGGCCAGAGGUGGUAGCAUGCCAGGCUAUGAUUAAAAGUUUCAUGGAUGUCUACCAGCUUGCAAGCACUAGAAUCAUGACAUUAGAGAAGGAAAUGACAUCUCAUCGAAGUCACAUUGCAGCCUUGAAAUCAGAACUUCACACAGCUUGUUUACGUGAAAAUGCAAGUUUACAAUCAGUUACAUUCAUCAUUUCAUUUAGAAGAGGUGGUUCACCCUGUAGUGAUUCUUCAUCUAUAGAAUGCGAAACAUUCCCCCAGGUGAUUCUGAUCAGCACUACUUUUGCACUUUGGAGCUAUGAUUGAGUAAAAUGAAAGUUACUUGAACACAAGUACUGUGACAUGGCAACCAAGAUGGCUACUGAGUGACACACAGGCAGGGAGCUUACACACCGUGGAUACCUGGACGACGGGAGGAUUCAGGUCCCAGGUGGGAUGGCGCCGGAUAGUGUGACAUUUCAUCACGUGCCUCCAAAUGGAUGGAAUUAUCAUGCUAAUGUCUGCAGAGAAGGAAGCACAGAUUAGGUGACUGUGGCUACUAUGAGGGCCAAGGAGGCCCUCCCACCCAUCCUGUGGGAUGCACCACCUGUGCUCACUAGGCCUAUGGAGAGGGGAGUGACUGGGGCACCUGCUCACCCCUGUACCAUGCCUGUUCUUCAGCUUCAGCUCUGGAUCCCCCAGAGAGGGACUGCUGCCUGCAUCUGGGUUCCUGGACAAACAUGCAGUCUACCAGCCAGCGUGUUCUCCAAAAAGAGGAAAAUGAGUGUUCUGCUCCCAAGAGAUCACGGCGUCCACCUGAGUCCCACCAGCCGAGUCAUUUGUCUGCUCCUGUAGCAUUUACCUUUAUAGUGCAAAAUCUCAGGGUGCUGGCAUUUCAGCCACAUGCAGGAGGUUGAUGCAUGGAUCUGUGGCGAAUGUCACCACCUGUGACAGAGCUCUUAUUUAUGAACUGAAGAACAUUCUCCAUCUUGGCCCUCUUGCCAGAAAAGUUAUUUCUCCACAGACCAACGGGAAGUUCCCUAAGUACUAUGAGACCUUGUCUUUGCCUAUAGCUGGCUGCAUUGGACAUGGAUUCCUGGCCGAAGUUCAUUAAAGAAGAUGAGGGAAAAUAAACACACAUGUACACGCACACCAGAUAAACUGCAUGCUUCCUUCUGCUGGGGACGCGCUGUAGGUGAGCAAGUGCACCAAGGACAAGGCGGCCACUGAUGAAAAGGAAGGGAAAAGAGACUUCAUUUCCAUACCCACUAACCACGCCAACAGAAGGCUUUGUGAAGAAGGAAGUAAAAGCUAUCGGUAGGAGUUAGAAAAAAACAUUUCUAGUUACAAGAACAGCAGAAAAAGACCUGAACUUCAGAGUGGACCACAAAUGAAUAUGAAUUAAUAACACAGAUCUCUUUUCAAAAGCUAACACAAAAUGAGGAUGUGUUUUUUGCAAAAGCAGUUGUUCUUGCCACUGGGCUUAUGCUUGUCAUUCUUUCAUGUGUCACAGCCAGACCUAGGAAAUUCCCUGGAAAGUCCCCUCCAUCACACACCUGCAGUUUUUCCAUUUGAGUGUAAUUCUGUUGGACCUUGAAAGACUUUUUGAUCUUUGGGACGCUCUUAUCACCAAAUGUAUCUUUCUGCAGGAAGAAGACAGAAGAAAGGGGUGGACUAUGAGAUGGGAGCCUGGGUCCCAAUUUCAGUUCAACCAUUACCAACCAGGUGGCUUUAGGCAAGUCUGGUCAUUUCCUUUGCCUCAGUGGCUUUCUAUAAAAUGGAAUUCUGUAGGGAUGAUGAAAGCGAAAACGUUAGCCACUAUGAUUGCUAGUGCUCAAGAAAUGAUUCCUUCCUGCCUGCCUGCCUCAGUUUUCCAUCUGUAAACAAGGAUUCAACUAGAACAUCUUUGAGGUUCCUUGAGCUCUAACACUCUGUGAUUCUGUUGGCAGCACCUUAAGAAAUUUACAACAAACACUCCAGUGAGUCUUAAUCUAUUAGAUCCCAUUCAGUUCUAAUAGUGUUGUGAUUUUGACUUUGUAGCCUAACGUUUAUUUUCUUUCUUCCUGAUUUUUUAUUUAUAUAUUCUAUUUAAUAGUUUUUGCUUUUUCAAGUUGCCACCAAUUCUUUGUAGAGUAAGAAAAAAGUAUAACUAACUGGAGGAAAGAAUGCAUUAGCGGAAAGCCAAGGAAUUAUAACACUAAUGCUAAUACAAUACUACUGCUAAUAAAAAUAACUGCCUUUAUUGAA